This 348-nucleotide unclassified non-coding RNA is filed under the name soil metagenome. RNAcentral describes it as "partial contains 5.8S ribosomal RNA, internal transcribed spacer 2, and large subunit ribosomal RNA". The stretch from base 1 to 120 matches the Rfam family "5.8S ribosomal RNA", at positions 35 to 154 of the family's 154-position model. The record is from RNAcentral.
GAUGAAGAACGUAGUGAAAUGCGAUAAGUAGUGUGAAUUGCAGAAUUCAGUGAAUCAUCGAAUCUUUGAACGCACAUUGCGCCCUUUGGUAUUCCGAAGGGCAUGCCUGUUCGAGCGUCAUUAUCACCCCUCAAGCCCCGGCUUGGUGUUGGGCUCUCGGUGGUCGUCUCCGACCACCCGUCUCAAAGAUAGUGACGGCGUCCCAGAGGGAACCGGUACGAGGAGCUUUCACGAGCAUGUACGCGGGACGACUCUGCGGGCGACGGUCUUAUUUACUUUAUAUACAAGUGUUGACCUCGGAUCAGGUAGGAAUACCCGCUGAACUUAAGCAUAUCAAUAAGCGGAGGA